AUUUCAUCAUGGCGUCUCGUGUGACAGACGGUCCUGUGGUCUGUCGUGGCGGUAGAUCGCAACUUGAAGCAAAUGGCGUUGCGAUUACACAGGCCAACAUGGUAAAUGAAAUGCGGGCAGUUCAGCUACUUAUUGGCGGAAAUGGUCGUGGAGUGUUUUUGCCGACGAAGUUUCAGCAUAAAUGUUAAUCAGAGUUAAAUGGCAUCUUGACAUCUUCUGUAUGAUGAAGACGUGCUCUAUGGCCAUUGCUCCUUAAUGGGUAUAUAUGACUUCUGGCAGUACUGGCUCACUGAAAGCAACGUUAUUGGUGCCUUGUGGAUGAAGUGAGGUGGAGUGUGAAACUGCACCAGCAUCAUGUACAUCUACAAGCACAAAUAUUCUCCAGUUUGUGGAUCGUUUAUUGAUGGCUAUAGGAUUUUUGUCACAUUUUUUCCAGUGAACCGUGUGAGAGGCAGGGUUUUGUAAUGAUCCCAUGGAUUCUAAUGCAGGAAGCCAUAAUUUCUGUGAAAACUGGUGGAUGCUCAUUGAAUUCUAUAAGGAAACACACAUGGUCCUGUUGAUUGGCUAUUUAAGAAGAAUGAGGUAAUGAAAACAGCAGCUUGUAGCUCAGAUAAAAUUUACUCUGUGAUUGAAUGUUGGUUGCAAGGGCAAUGUUGCUGGCUGGUACACAGCAUGCCAUGUGUCAAUGCAUUUAAUGUAAACCUGUUUGACUCCUUAUUCUGUGCACUUUGUAAUGUGUUUUGCCUGACAAGGUUCUUCAUGUCUCUAAAAUGGUGACACAGUGAGUGCACAAAGCACGAGAAAAAACUGAAAUUGGCAGAUGAGUGGUCCCUUCCAUUCAACUUGCUGAAACAUCAAUCACAGUUAUUUUAAUCGGUGCAUAGAAGUUAUACUUCUUUAAAGCUGGAGUAUUUGUUAAUGUAACAACAAUAAAUAUUUAUUUUGAUAA
Molecule: long non-coding RNA, 949 nt
Organism: Schistocerca americana (American grasshopper)
Lineage: Eukaryota; Metazoa; Arthropoda; Insecta; Orthoptera; Acrididae
Exons: 5
Source: RefSeq, a predicted model, not a curated record